AGUGAACGCUGGCGGUAGGCCUAACACAUGCAAGUCGAACGGCAGCACAGUAAGAGCUUGCUCUUACGGGUGGCGAGUGGCGGACGGGUGGGGAAUACAUCGGAAUCUACUUUUUCGUGGGGGAUAACGUAGGGAAACUUACGCUAAUACCGCAUACGACCUACGGGUGAAAGCAGGGGAUCUUCGGACCUUGCGCGAUUGAAUGAGCCGAUGUCGGAUUAGCUAGUUGGCGGGGUAAAGGCCCACCAAGGCGACGAUCCGUAGCUGGUCUGAGAGGAUGAUCAGCCACACUGGAACUGAGACACGGUCCAGACCCCUACGGGAGGCAGCAGUGGGGAAUAUUGGACAAUGGGCGCAAGCCUGAUCCAGCCAUACCGCGUGGGUGAAGAAGGCCUUCGGGUUGUAAAGCCCUUUUGUUGGGAAAGAAAAGCAGCAGGUUAAUACCCCGCUGUUCUGACGGUACCCAAAGAAUAAGCACCGGCUAACUUCGUG
This 492-nucleotide ribosomal RNA is filed under the name uncultured bacterium. RNAcentral describes it as "partial 16S ribosomal RNA". It matches the Rfam family "Bacterial small subunit ribosomal RNA", at positions 29 to 507 of the family's 1533-position model. The record is from RNAcentral.